This 254-nucleotide ribosomal RNA is filed under the name uncultured bacterium. RNAcentral's name for it is "partial 16S ribosomal RNA". It matches the Rfam family "Bacterial small subunit ribosomal RNA", at positions 524 to 776 of the family's 1533-position model. The record is from RNAcentral.
UACGGAGGGUGCGAGCGUUGUCCGGAAUCAUUGGGCGUAAAGGGCGCGUAGGUGGCCCGGUCAGUUCGUGGUGAAAGCGCGGGGCUCAACCCUGCGUCGGCCAUGAAUACUGCCGCGGCUGGAGCACUGUAGAGGCAGGCGGAAUUCCGGGUGUAGCGGUGGAAUGCGUAGAGAUCCGGAAGAACACCGGUGGCGAAGGCGAAUCCCUGGAAAAUACCUGACACUGAGGCACGAAAGCUAGGGGAGCAAACAGG